RNAcentral lists this ribosomal RNA (1542 nucleotides) under Triticum aestivum (bread wheat). RNAcentral's name for it is "partial small subunit ribosomal RNA". Lineage: Eukaryota; Viridiplantae; Streptophyta; Magnoliopsida; Poales; Poaceae. The record is from RNAcentral.
CUCCUCCUCUUCUUCACAGCGUUCGCGCCCACACCACUGGCAGCAGCAGCGACCUCCUCCAAGCUUCCCAGCCAGCCUCCUCCUUUCCCUGCUUGGCUCGCUCCUCUGCAGCAGCACCGGGCGGCAAGCUCGAGCGGCAGGUACACCACCGCCGCCACGGCCUCCGCGAAGCCGUUCACGGCGCACUACUUCCCGCAGGAGCUGGAUCACUUCACCUUCACGCCCAACUCCUCCCGCGUCUUUUCCCAGAAGUACCUCCUCAACGACACCUUCUGGCGGAAACCCACCGCCGGCGCCGGCGGCGUCGGCCCUCUGUUCGUGUACACGGGCAACGAGGGCGACAUCGAGUGGUUCGCCACCAACACCGGCUUCAUGUUCGACAUCGCGCCCGAGUUCGGCGCCCUCCUCGUCUUCAUCGAGCAUCGGUACUACGGGGAGUCGAAGCCGUUCGGAAACGACUCGUACACGUCGGCAGACACGGUGGGCUACCUGACGUCCACGCAGGCGCUCGCCGACUUCGCCAUCCUCAUCACCAGCCUCAAGCAGAACCUCUCUGCCGUCGACGCCCCCGUCGUUGUCUUUGGCGGCUGCUACGGCGGCAUGCUGGCUUCAUGGUUCAGGCUCAAGUAUCCCCAUGUCGCCAUGGGAGCACUGGCAUCCUCUGCUCCGAUACUGCAGUUCGACGACAUCACCCCGUGGUCUAGCUUCAACGACGCCAUCUCGCAGGACUUCAAGUCUGAGAGCCUGAAUUGCUUCAGUGUCAUCAAGGCGGUCUGGGAUCUGCUAGAGGACAAGGGAUCCAAUGACACAGGGCUCUUGGAGCUCAGCAAAACCUUUAGGGCCUGCAAGACGGUGCAUUCCGUUUAUCCGCUGGCAUUAUGGCUAAGGGCAGCAUUCACCACCACAGCCAUGGUGGACUAUCCAACUCCAGCCAAUUUCAUGAUGAAUCUGCCUGCUUACCCUGUGAAGGAGAUGUGCAAGAUCAUUGAUUCUUUUCCCGCGGAAGCAGACGUCAUCGGCAAAGCUUUCGCUGCGGCGAGCCUAUACUACAAUUACACAGGCGACCAGAAAUGCUUCGAGGUGGAGGGUGGCGAUGACCCUCAUGGCCUCCAUGGCUGGGGCUGGCAGGCCUGCACAGAGAUGGUCAUGCCGAUGACGGUGUCGAACGAGAGCAUGUUCCCACCGUCCAGCUUCAGUGACGAGAAGAGGUCGGAGGGCUGCCACCUGGUCUACGGAGUUCGUCCAAGGAUGCACUGGAUCACUACUGAAUAUGGUGGCCAUAAAAUUGACAAGGUUCUCAAGAGGUUUGGGAGUAACAUCAUCUUCUCCAACGGGAUGCGAGACCCAUGGAGUAGAUUUCAGGUGCUCAAGAACAUAUCAUCCAGCAUCAUUGCUCUUGUCACAGAGAAAGGGGCCCAUCAUUUGGACCUCAGAUCAGCAACCAAGGAUGAUCCAGACUGGCUUGUAGAACAAAGGAGACAGGAAGUUGGGAUCAUACAUGGAUGGAUAGAUCAGUAUAACAAGGACAUUGCGCAGAUGUAG